CACUCGUAUCAAUGAAAUGAUACGUAAUCUUUGUAUAUUCGCGAAAAUACAAUGAAAAGACCCAGGCUGCGCAUUAAGGAGCAUAUAUCUUCCAGGUUCAGGACAGAAACAAUGUGGAGUCAACUGAAAAUAGUGAAAAGCAGUCUCCUAGUAGAUGCGGAAACACCAUUAUAGACUUUUAUUGUCAGUUGGACCUUUCUUGCCAAUUCGGAAAUAAAAAAUCUACCCUCGGACAAUCACCAAGGGAAAGCACACCUUAGUCGCUACCCUUAUGAUUGUAUUUGUGGUACUGUUGUUCAAUGCGGGAUAUGGAGAAAAACAAUGUAAUAUCAAACUUUUGUCAUGGAAAAGGAUGACAACAAACUAACUGCAGACACUGUUACGGAAUCAUCAUAAUGUGCAAUAUAAAAAGCAUGUUAAAUGGUUGAAGGUGAUAACCUUCAUAAAGCAAACUUGCAUAAGUAGCUGCAUAUUUCCUAUGACAUGUGUUGGAGAAGUGCAGAAUAUAAGAGUAGUCUUUCACAGUACAGUAAUUUUAUCAAGUUUGUUAUUUCUUUUCUGCAUAUAAAAUUAAUGGUGCAAAACUCUUGCUUGGAUUUUCACAGAAACGGUAGCUGAAGAAACAUACUGAAGAAAUCACUGUCAUGAUAACUACAGUAAGAAAUAUCUUUCCAGAUCCCGUUGAUGCAUGGUCUGUCAUCAAUUCAAUAUCAUAAAUUCUGUUUGUAAUUGGUACUACACUUUUCAAGUUGUUUACGACAUUCCUCGAUUACUCAAGUCAAAUGGUUUUAUUUAAGUAAUUGUAAGGAAAUAUUAAAGAAAUUGCCAGCAAUUGUGAUAGCCAUUGAUGAAGAACGUUUUCCCCUAGGUGAACAAUAGCAUUCAUUGAUGAUGAGGUACCAUCAAGAUGUCUCGUCUACUAACUUAGCAUCUAGAUUACAACACAUAAAGCAUCUAAUUACUAUGAAAUACAGUCAAAAUAUUUAUCAGUAGAUAUUCAGGAAAUUUCCUGAUGCAAUGUAUGUAGACUUAUGUUGCUUACUUGGACACAUGGAAAGAAUUAUUAGUUUUCUUGAAUUCCAUUUGUGAGAGAAGGAAUUUGUUAGAAAACUCGAUUUGGUAAAAUGACACUAACUUUCGCUCAAUCUGCAGAACAAAAUAUAAUUGUAGGCUCGUACCACAGAGAUUAUCACUCUGAAUUAGACUGAAGAAACAUUUUGAUAGACCAUUUUGAUAUGUACCAGUAGUAUAUUUGAUAGACCAAUAUACCUUGAUUAAUCCGAUGAUAUCGUUAUGCACCCAUCUUCUGAAUUAGUACUAUUAAAUUUAAGGAUCAAUGUCAAAGAACCAAUAUUUACUCGUACCUGCGAAAAAUUCACGAUAGAGAAAAUAAAUAUAAGAGUAAUCCAAAUUAGUCAAGCCAUUAACAAAGAAUAAAUCUCUGCAAUUAGAGUAUUUCCUAAAAGAAAGUAAUUUAUAGGUUUCAUAUGAAGGGAUGUACAUGCACCAGAUAUUUGCGAAAUUAGUAAGCACUAUCAGGUUUGAGGUAUGGAUGACUGAAGAAAAAGCAAAACCUCUGGAUGGAGUAAGCCACGGAAUCGGUCAUUUACAGUAAGUUCUCUAUGGAGUUGGAAUUGCACUAACCAUAUCUGCGGCCUGCACUAUAAAUUAUUGUAGGGACUGAAGACAAUCAUAAACUUAGUUGAGGAAAUGUGUUAAUAUCAAUGCGUAUUAUGCCACCAUAAAUCUGAAUUACAUGGAGAUCAAUCAUUUGAAAACCAAGGAUCUUGCAUCACAGACCGUUGUCUGGGCUACACCAACAGUAUGGAUAAGCGAUACAUCAUACUUUCUCCAAUUAAUAACACGGAAAUAGUGGUGAGCAAAAUAAACAACAAAUAACCAACCGACGAAGGCUGAUAAUUUGCAAAACAUGACCUGUGGGUUACUGAACGGCUAGAGGUAGGUGGUGAAGUGCCAAGCAGUGGUGGUGGUGUUCACUGUGAUAAAAAUCACACUAUCAAAUAACAUGAGAAGCGAAUUUAGUCUGAGUUAUGUGAGCAGUGAUGUCAUUUCUUUCCCAACUUUUAUGACAGUUUACUAUCACGGUUGCAACCACAUAAUGAAAUUCCAUUGUAUCAUUUUGAAAAAUAGUAGAGAAAAUUAGAUGAAGAAAAAUGGCAGCAACAGUACCUGAAUUCAACAGACUUCAGCCCUUGCAUGCCAAAAGAAAAAUUGCAACAACAGUAUGUUUCCUGCUAGGGCACUACUUAAUAGCAUGAUAAAAUCUCAGUAAUACGAAAUUAUUAUAAACAGAUCUAGGACAUGUAUGUUCGCAUGCAGGCUAUAUGCGAUCAAUUAUUUUGCAUCUUCUUGUAAAAAUUUAUCACUAUGCACAAUUUGCAAAUAAAAUAAACUAUAGGAUUGUACAUAGGCAACAUACAUCUACCUAUACCUUGAAGCUUCCCUAAACUUUUCAGGCUUGUCCACCUCAAUUAAUGUAACUGUAGCAUGGGGUUCAUUCUGGUGGGCAUCUUGCGUCGAGGGCAUGUGGAAUGCCUAGUAUCGUCCAUGGUGGUGGCCAACUAAAUUAAUUCAAACUACCAUCGGUAUGGCUCUCCCAUCAAACAAUAUUCAUCACGGGAUAUAUUCAUGUAAGAUCAAAAAUAGAUGCAUGAUUGCAGCGUACUUAGGACAUGGAAGCUAAGGAGAUUCAAAGGUUACAAAGAAAGAUAUUAGGGAGAGCCAGAGAGGAAGGAUUGAUUUCAGAUUUCCAAUCACUUGGAUAUCAUAACGUACCUUUGGGGCAGAGGCGAUUCAAUGGUUGGAGAGGAAGGGCAUCAAGAAGAUACUGCUUGGAUCUUUAUUAGAAGGAAUCCCGAUGUGGAAACUGGAGAGGAGGAGGAGCGGCGCUAGGGAUCCCUCCACGGCAUGUCGCUGCCUCGCUGGGGCAAGAUCGAUGGAGGGGUGGAAUCUGCUAGGGCCGAGGGAGAUGUCUUUUUUUAGGGAGAUGUCCUCUUGGGCAGUCGUGGAAGAAUUGGCUGAAGGCGCCUCCA
Molecule: long non-coding RNA, 3053 nt
Filed under: Triticum aestivum (bread wheat)
Lineage: Eukaryota; Viridiplantae; Streptophyta; Magnoliopsida; Poales; Poaceae
Description: long non-coding RNA (TAES_LNC003069)
Source: RNAcentral